GUGGUAAUGCCGGAUGCUCCAUCACACCGCAUGGUGUGUUGGGAAAGCCUUUGCGGCAUGGGAUGGGGUCGCGUCCUAUCAGCUUGAUGGCGGGGUAACGGCCCACCAUGGCUUCGACGGGUAGCCGGCCUGAGAGGGCGACCGGCCACAUUGGGACUGAGAUACGGCCCAGACUCCUACGGGAGGCAGCAGUGGGGAAUAUUGCACAAUGGGCGCAAGCCUGAUGCAGCGACGCCGCGUGAGGGAUGGAGGCCUUCGGGUUGUAAACCUCUUUUGUUAGGGAGCAAGGCACUUUGUGUUGAGUGUACCUUUCGAAUAAGCACCGGCUAACUACGUGCCAGCAGCCGCGGUAAUACGUAGGGUGCAAGCGUUAUCCGGAAUUAUUGGGCGUAAAGGGCUCGUAGGCGGUUCGUCGCGUCCGGUGUGAAAGUCCAUCGCUUAACGGUGGAUCCGCGCCGGGUACGGGCGGGCUUGAGUGCGGUAGGGGAGACUGGAAUUCCCGGUGUAACGGUGGAAUGUGUAGAUAUCGAAAAAAAAACACCA
This 543-nucleotide ribosomal RNA is filed under the name Bifidobacterium breve. RNAcentral describes it as "bacterial SSU rRNA". It matches the Rfam family "Bacterial small subunit ribosomal RNA", at positions 160 to 711 of the family's 1533-position model. The record is from RNAcentral. Lineage: Bacteria; Bacillati; Actinomycetota; Actinomycetes; Bifidobacteriales; Bifidobacteriaceae.